UCGGAUAUGGUGUAACGGCUAACAUUGCCGCCUCUCAUCUAUUUCGGGGAACUUUAGAGUGAACGCGGCAGCUCGGGGUUCGAUUCGCCGAAUCCGAA
Molecule: non-coding RNA, 98 nt
Organism: Armillaria nabsnona
Lineage: Eukaryota; Fungi; Basidiomycota; Agaricomycetes; Agaricales; Physalacriaceae
Source: the annotation of a GenBank genome assembly